RNAcentral lists this long non-coding RNA (318 nucleotides) under Olea europaea (common olive). RNAcentral describes it as "long non-coding RNA (OEUR_LNC009305)". Lineage: Eukaryota; Viridiplantae; Streptophyta; Magnoliopsida; Lamiales; Oleaceae. The record is from RNAcentral.
AUGGAACAGCUAUUUAUUUAAAAUGAAAAACUUCAUUUAAAUAUUACAAGAAUAAAACUAACAUCAUUGCUCACCGGCGGGAGAAUAAUACUCAAAUGAAUUUAAGAAAACAAAAAAGACUAAAUCGAAAUUUCAAAUUAUAAACGAUAUUUUCAUUUCUUAAAAUGUGGAGGAGAAUACUCACUGGAGAUAGAAUAAUAAUCUUUAAACUUCAUGACCAAGCGAAUUUUCGUUUUUUCUAUUGAAAUUCCAUGAAGUGAACAUUAACACUUUUUUAUGGAAAAAAAGGACAAUCAUACAGUGAAAUUUAGGUUUUAC